AACGAACGCUGGCGGCAUGCCUAACACAUGCAAGUCGAACGAACCCUUCGGGGUGAGUGGCGCACGGGUGCGUAACGCGUGGGAACCUGCCCUUAGGUUCGGAAUAACAGUGAGAAAUCGCUGCUAAUACCGGAUAAUGUCUUCGGACCAAAGAUUUAUCGCCUUUUGGAUGGGCCCGCGUUGGAUUAGCUAGUUGGUGGGGUAAAGGCUCACCAAGGCGACGAUCCAUAGCUGGUCUUAGAGGAUGAUCAGUCAUACUGGGACUGAGACACGGCCCAGACUCCUACGGGAGGCAGCAGUGGGGAAUAUUGGACAAAUGGGCGGAAAGACCUGAUCCAGCAAUGCCGCGUGAGUGAUGAG
This 360-nucleotide ribosomal RNA is filed under the name uncultured bacterium. RNAcentral describes it as "bacterial SSU rRNA". It matches the Rfam family "Bacterial small subunit ribosomal RNA", at positions 29 to 412 of the family's 1533-position model. The record is from RNAcentral.